This 253-nucleotide ribosomal RNA is filed under the name uncultured bacterium. RNAcentral's name for it is "partial 16S ribosomal RNA". It matches the Rfam family "Bacterial small subunit ribosomal RNA", at positions 524 to 776 of the family's 1533-position model. The record is from RNAcentral.
GACGUAGGGCGCGAGCGUUGUCCGGAUUUAUUGGGCGUAAAGAGCGUGUAGGCGGCUCGGUAAGUCCGCUCUGAAAGCCCGGGGCUCAACCCCGGGAGGCGGGCGGAUACUGUCGAGCUAGAGUCCGGAAGAGGCGAGUGGAAUUCCUGGUGUAGCGGUGAAAUGCGCAGAUAUCAGGAGGAACACCGAUAGCGAAGGCAGCUCGCUGGGACGGUACUGACGCUGAGACGCGAAAGCGUGGGGAGCAAACAGG